GCGGGUGUAACUCAGUGGUAGAGUGUGUGCUUCCCAAGCACAAAGUCGAGGGUUCGAAUCCCUUCGCCCGCUCCG
Molecule: transfer RNA, 75 nt
Filed under: Dehalococcoidia bacterium
Lineage: Bacteria; Bacillati; Chloroflexota; Dehalococcoidia
Description: tRNA-Gly
Rfam family: tRNA
About the family: Transfer RNA (tRNA) molecules are approximately 80 nucleotides in length. Their secondary structure includes four short double-helical elements and three loops (D, anti-codon, and T loops). Further hydrogen bonds mediate the characteristic L-shaped molecular structure. tRNAs have two regions of fundamental functional importance: the anti-codon, which is responsible for specific mRNA codon recognition, and the 3' end, to which the tRNAs corresponding amino acid is attached (by aminoacyl-tRNA synthetases). tRNAs cope with the degeneracy of the genetic code in two manners: having more than one tRNA (with a specific anti-codon) for a particular amino acid; and 'wobble' base-pairing, i.e. permitting non-standard base-pairing at the 3rd anti-codon position.
Source: RNAcentral